GAAGUGCGAAAAGUGUCAUGACUUGCAGAUUCCCGAGAGCUGACAAAUCUCUGAAUGCAAAUGGCGGCCGGACAAGACCGGCCAUGUAUUGUAGAGUGUAGAUGCUCCCGCACAUCAUCACGCAUAACUCUCGACUUUGUCGAGUGCGUGGUUCUGCGCUAGUGGUCCGACCGCGAGCGUGAAAUGCAGAGAAGUGUGUGUGUAGUGCCUGUGCUUUGCACUUGGCCUAGACACGCUUGGAUAUGGUAACACAAUCUGAGCGGGGUUGUCUUGUGCUACUUGCGACCUGGCAAUAAUUAUCUACGCUACCUCUUCAUUAAUUAUCCCUUGCAAUCGUUCAGCGAGCGCAAGGAAUAUAUCUAUGAGCCACCUCUACAAUGCAGGAUAACCCGCUGAACUU
RNAcentral lists this unclassified non-coding RNA (400 nucleotides) under uncultured fungus. RNAcentral describes it as "sequence contains ITS1". The stretch from base 1 to 101 matches the Rfam family "5.8S ribosomal RNA", at positions 50 to 154 of the family's 154-position model. Lineage: Eukaryota; Fungi. The record is from RNAcentral.